Molecule: long non-coding RNA, 938 nt
Filed under: Phasianus colchicus (ring-necked pheasant)
Lineage: Eukaryota; Metazoa; Chordata; Aves; Galliformes; Phasianidae
Description: lncRNA (ENSPCLG00000001758.1)
Source: RNAcentral
CACAAUCUUACAGUCUAGAAGUUCACUAGGUUGAUUCUUUCCCUUUCCAACCUAAGACAUGGUAAUUCAGACUCCCAACAAGAAGUUGAAAUGUGAAUUCAAGUCAAAAUAUUUCAUUCAGAUGCGUUUAAAGUAAUUUGUGUUUCCCCAAUUGAUUGCCAAAUUGCUAGGAAAUUCUAUCAGCAAUACUUUAUUCCCUCAGCUCUUUUCCUCCCCCACAAAAAUUACACUAAAGUCAGGGCUGAUAGGUGCAAUUUAAAGGAAGUAUUUUUCUGUAAAAUGCAAGCAAACCCUCAUUCAAAUGAACACUCCAGUUUAUGCUCCAUAAACAAUUCUGACAUCAAAAUUAGUAUGCGUUCCUAAGAAACACUGUUUACUACAGUAACAGUGGAAUGCAGUCUUGUAAUGCUGGCUUUCUUAACCGAAGAAAGAAAAGACGAAUAUGGUGCAGAUAACUGUUGUAGCUUCUGGGGAGUAUCUGAUGUAUUCUGAAAUGCCUGUGGUGUGUAGGGGACCUGUACAGAAGAAAUAAUACAGCAUUCUUCUGCUCUGAGAUCAGCAGAGAAGUAAGAAAUAAGCAGCCAACUCAUGCUGACCCUUAAAAAAAGGCAGAUCUUUCAGAGAGUUCAAGAUGAAAAACAUGGCAAACCAAAGGGUGGCUGUCCUCAGCCUGAAGGUGCAGCACUGUAGAUGGUACAAUGUCUUUGGCUUCUGUCUGAUCAAUGGGUGUUGAAAGUCACUUCAGAAGGUACAUGGAAGAGUCCAGAGUGAUCAUCUCUUCAUCACCUCCUACAUCCUGUGUGCUGACACCACCCACUCCAUUUGGAUUCCAUUUCUUCAACCCAUUAGCUCGUACCACAAGGCUGACCCCACCUACAAAUACAGUUUGAGAAGAAAAAAAACCAAAACUAAUAGGCUUUUUAAAUUUUAAGUGAUCC